UACGGAGGGAGCAAGCGUUACUCGGAAUUACUGGGCGUAAAGGGCGCGUAGGCGAUUUUGUAAGUCUUGUGUGAAAGCCCAAAGCCUAACUUUGGAAGUGCACAAGAUACUGCGAGAAUUGAGUUCCGGAGAGGAAGAUGGAAUUCCCGGUGUAGCGGUGAAAUGCGUAGAUAUCGAGAGGAACACCUGCGGCGAAGGCGGGUUGCUGGGCCGACACUGACGCUGAUGCGCGAAAGCCAGGGGAGCGAACGGG
RNAcentral lists this ribosomal RNA (253 nucleotides) under uncultured bacterium. RNAcentral's name for it is "partial 16S ribosomal RNA". It matches the Rfam family "Bacterial small subunit ribosomal RNA", at positions 524 to 776 of the family's 1533-position model. The record is from RNAcentral.